UGGGGAAUAUUGCACAAUGGGCGCAAGCCUGAUGCAGCCAUGCCGCGUGUGUGAAGAAGGCCUUCGGGUUGUAAAGCACUUUCAGCGGGGAGGAAGGCGAUAAGGUUAAUAACCUUGUCGAUUGACGGUACCCGCAGAAGAAGCACCGGCUAACUCCGUGCCAGCAGCCGCGGUAAUACGGAGGGUGCAAGCGUUAAUCGGAAUUACUGGGCGUAAAGCGCACGCAGGCGGUCUGUCAAGUCGGAUGUGAAAUCCCCGGGCUUAACCUGGGAACUGCGUUCGAAACUGGCAGGCUAGAGUCGUGUAGAGGGGGGUAGAAUUCCAGGUGUAGCGGUGAAAUGCGUAGAGAUCUGGAGGAAUACCGGUGGCGAAGGCGGCCCCCUGGACAAAGACUGACGCUCAGUUGCGAAAGCGUGGGGAGCAAACAGG
This 429-nucleotide ribosomal RNA is filed under the name Chloroflexota bacterium. RNAcentral describes it as "Chloroflexi bacterium partial 16S ribosomal RNA". It matches the Rfam family "Bacterial small subunit ribosomal RNA", at positions 355 to 776 of the family's 1533-position model. The record is from RNAcentral. Lineage: Bacteria; Bacillati; Chloroflexota.